GCCUCGGUAGCUCAGGGGUAGAGCAGCGGCCUUGUAAGCCGCCGGUCGAGGGUUCAAUUCCCUCCCGAGGCU
Molecule: transfer RNA, 72 nt
Filed under: Nitrososphaeria archaeon
Lineage: Archaea; Thermoproteati; Nitrososphaerota; Nitrososphaeria
Also listed under: 1 other name
Description: tRNA-Thr
Rfam family: tRNA
About the family: Transfer RNA (tRNA) molecules are approximately 80 nucleotides in length.
Source: RNAcentral